UACGGGGGGGGGCAAGCGUUGUUCGGAAUUACUGGGCGUAAAGGGCUCGUAGGCGGCCAACUAAGUCGGAUGUGAAAUCCCCAGGCUCAACUUGGGAACUGCAUCCGAUACUGGAUGGCUUGAAUUCGGGAGAGGGAUGCAGAAUUCCAGGUGUAGCGGUGAAAUGCGUAGAUAUCUGGAGGAAUACCGGUGGCGAAGGCGGCAUCCUGGACCGACAUUGACGCUGAGGAGCGAAAGCGUGGGGAGCAAACAGG
Molecule: ribosomal RNA, 254 nt
Filed under: uncultured bacterium
Lineage: Bacteria
Description: partial 16S ribosomal RNA
Rfam family: Bacterial small subunit ribosomal RNA
Source: RNAcentral